AACGAACGCUGGCGGCGCGCCUAAUACAUGCAAGUCGAGCGAGAAGACGUAGCAAUACGUUUGUAAAGCGGCGAACGGGUGAGGAAUACAUGGGUAACCUACCCUCGAGUGGGGAAUAACUAGCCGAAAGGUUAGCUAAUACCGCGUACGCUCCUUGGACUUCGGUUCAGGGAGGAAAGCGAUACCGUGGGUAUCGCGCUCUUGGAUGGGCUCAUGUCCUAUCAGCUUGUUGGUGAGGUAACGGCUCACCAAGGCUUCGACGGGUAGCUGGUCUGAGAGGACGACCAGCCACACGGGGACUGAGACACGGCCCCGACUCCUACGGGAGGGCAGCAGUGGGGAAUUUUCCGCAAUGGGCGAAAGCCUGACGGAGUGACGCCGCGUGUGGGACGAAGGCCUUC
RNAcentral lists this ribosomal RNA (401 nucleotides) under uncultured bacterium. Its description in RNAcentral is "bacterial SSU rRNA". It matches the Rfam family "Bacterial small subunit ribosomal RNA", at positions 29 to 419 of the family's 1533-position model. The record is from RNAcentral.